This 250-nucleotide unclassified non-coding RNA is filed under the name plant metagenome. RNAcentral describes it as "partial contains small subunit ribosomal RNA, internal transcribed spacer 1, and 5.8S ribosomal RNA". The record is from RNAcentral.
GUAGGUGAACCUGCGGAAGGAUCAUUAAUAAAUCGUCCCAUAAAUUUUACCAUUUCCCCUCUUUUCCUUCUCCACACACUCUCACUUGCCCUCCUUGGGGUGAUCGUUGGUGAUUUUGGGGAGGGAAUUGGUGUGGGAGAUCAUCAACUUUGCCUCUUUCAUACUUUUGGGAAACGUGGUAGGGGGAGGGUGGAAGUAGUAGCCUUUACACUGGCCAUUGAUUGGGGUGCUGAAGAGUUGGGGGCAAAAG